ACGAACGCUGGCGGCGUGCCUAAUACAUGCAAGUUGAGCGCUGAAGGUUGGUACUUGUACCAACUGGAUGAGCAGCGAACGGGUGAGUAACGCGUGGGGAAUCUGCCUUUGAGCGGGGGACAACAUUUGGAAACGAAUGCUAAUACCGCAUAAAAACUUUAAACACAAGUUUUAAGUUUGAAAGAUGCAAUUGCAUCACUCAAGGAUGAUCCCGCGUUGUAUUAGCUAGUUGGUGAGGUAAAGGCUCACCAAGGCGAUGAUACAUAGCCGACCUGAGAGGGUGAUCGGCCACAUUGGGACUGAGACACGGCCCAAACUCCUACGGGAGGCAGCAGUAGGGAAUCUUCGGCAAUAGACGAAAGUCUGACCGAGCAACGCCGCGUGAGUGAAGAAGGUUUUCGGAUCGUAAAACUCUGUUGGUAGAGAAGAACGUUGGUGAGAGUGGAAAGCUCAUCAAGUGACGGUAACUACCCAGAAAGGGACGGCUAACUACGUG
Molecule: ribosomal RNA, 496 nt
Filed under: uncultured bacterium
Lineage: Bacteria
Description: partial 16S ribosomal RNA
Rfam family: Bacterial small subunit ribosomal RNA
Source: RNAcentral